Molecule: transfer RNA, 85 nt
Filed under: Mycobacterium simulans
Lineage: Bacteria; Bacillati; Actinomycetota; Actinomycetes; Mycobacteriales; Mycobacteriaceae
Description: tRNA-Ala
Source: RNAcentral
CACCGCCGUGGGCGGCAAUGGCGGCGCCGGCGGUGUCGGCGCUGCCGGUGGGAGUGCCGGCCAGUUCGGCCAUGGCGGUGGUGGC